Mya arenaria is the source of this 1508-nucleotide long non-coding RNA. RefSeq lists it as uncharacterized. NCBI's taxonomy places the organism in Eukaryota, Metazoa, Mollusca, Bivalvia, Myida, Myidae. The record is from RefSeq and is a predicted model, not a curated record. The transcript has 5 exons.
UUUAAAUAUGAAUUAUGUAAGAUUUUAUGCUCAAAUAUACAUUAUUUACAUACGCAUACUUCAUGUUUAACUUAACAUAUUUGAUUCAACUGAAAAGAGAAGUAUUAAUAGUAACAUUUCUAACUUCAUUAUUUAUGGUAUGUGUCAUCAGAACAUUCGCUUACAAGUGUCGUUAAGUAUGAGUAUACGUACUUGAUUUUGAACUCACCGAAAGGAGUGACCUGUUGUUAAGCGGAAGUAAUGCAUUUUUUAAUCACCUUAAACGACCACGAAGUUAUUUUCAAUAAUCCAGAGAGAACCAGAUCGCAACUUCGGUCUACAUUAAGAACGAGCGAGGUAGGUGUAAGAUGGCCGCCAAGAUCGAAGACCAACCUAACCGGCUGUACUAGACCGCAGUGCAAUAUGAAGUAGCACCGAAUCAACGACGAUGGAUUCGCUGCUAAGAUGUUACUUAUUGGAUUAUAACAAGAACUGAUGAGCCAGGUAUGUGCUAGAUGGACUCCUGGUUCGAAGGUCAACCUUAUAUAAGCUCGAAGUUCAGCCUUAUAGUGUGCCGACGACGAUGGAUUCGCUACUUCUCACUUUUUCUGCACGUAUUUUGACACGAAAUUUGGAGACAACAGUCCGAGGAAAAAUGUCCCUGAACACUCCACAGCGUUCGAUGAAUACUCUCCGACGAAGAUGUAUUGGACUAAUACAGUGUAAAAAACAAACGGCACUAUAAAGAGAACAUGGCUAACCUUUUCGUACAAAACAACUUGACGGGGACUUGACAGGAUAUACAAUUGCAAGAAAAACAAAUAUCGAGAACUUACUUGAAAUUGAUAUCGUUGUGUAUAGUGCAUUGAAUCUAACUUACUGGUGUUCCAAAACGCUUACGACAAAUUUAUCUUUCGCAGUUUUUGCGUAUUUUUUCAAUUCAAAAUCUACUGGAAUUGUCUACCCAGUAAGUUUUAAAUAACAUCGAUAUAAUUGUCACGUGAUUUUCGCAUGUUACUUAUACACAUAACAUCGUUUUCCAAAAGGACGGACAGUGCAAUAAAGCGGAAAACUGCUGCAAAAAAUGUAGAUACAGAGUCCGACAGGUUGAUUUCGGUGAUGAAGUUAAUCGAUGAAAUUUUUUAAAGAGAUUACCACUGCUGAAGCUGACAGGGCGUUAGCUAAAACAAGUUUGACUGGUUAAUGUAUGGAACGAUCACGUGACUUGCAAAAUGUUCAGAAAAACGAACAUACCGAGCUGUUUAUGAACGGAGAAACUUGGCUGGGACCGGCUGUGAGACAACUGUUGUGCUUAUUCUUCAAAUCAUGUAAAAUGAUGUAUUAUCGGUCUCAUUCUAGCUCGUUUUGACAAGUAUAUGCUUGUUUUGAGGAAAUACUAUAUUCGCCGAUUUGGGGACCAUCUAGUUUCUAGUCCGAAAUGUUGACAUUAUUAUAAAAAUAUUUGUUUGUGGUGGUGUAUAUAGUGUGUAUUAAGUAUUGAACGUAUUAAAGUUUAGUCAGAAUGUGAA